ACGUAGGGUGCGAGCGUUGUCCGGAAUUAUUGGGCGUAAAGAGCUCGUAGGCGGUGUGUCGCGUCGGUCGUGAAAACUAGGGGCUUAACCCUGAGCUUGCGGUCGAUACGGGCAUCACUGGAGUUCGGCAGGGGAGACUGGAAUUCCUGGUGUAGCGGUGAAAUGCGCAGAUAUCAGGAGGAACACCGGUGGCGAAGGCGGCAUCCUGGACCGAGAUUGACACUAAAGCGCGAAAGCCAGGGGAGCAAACGGGA
This 254-nucleotide ribosomal RNA is filed under the name uncultured prokaryote. RNAcentral describes it as "partial 16S ribosomal RNA". It matches the Rfam family "Bacterial small subunit ribosomal RNA", at positions 525 to 777 of the family's 1533-position model. The record is from RNAcentral.